CCUACGGGUGGCAGCAGUGGGGAAUAUUGGACAAUGGGGGAAACCCUGAUCCAGCGACGCCGCGUGAGUGAAGAAGUAUUUCGGUACGUAAAGCUCUAUCAGCAGGGAAGAAAAUGACGGUACCUGACUAAGAAGCCCCGGCUAACUACGUGCCAGCAGCCGCGGGAAUACGUGGGGGGCAAGCGUUAUCCGGAUUUACUGGGUGUAAAGGGAGCGUAGACGGCAGCGCAAGUCUGGGGUGAAAUGCCGGGGCCCAACCCCGGAACUGCUCUGGAAACUGUGAAGCAGGAGUGCAGGAGAGGUAGGCGGAAUCCCUGUUGUGGCGGGGAAAGGCGUAGAUAUUAGGGGGAACACCGGCGGCGAAGGCGGCUUACGGGACUGUAACGGACGUUGAGGGUCGAAGGCGUGGGGAGCAAACAGGAUUAGAUACCCGGUAGUC
RNAcentral lists this ribosomal RNA (439 nucleotides) under uncultured bacterium. RNAcentral describes it as "partial 16S ribosomal RNA". It matches the Rfam family "Bacterial small subunit ribosomal RNA", at positions 338 to 795 of the family's 1533-position model. The record is from RNAcentral.